RNAcentral lists this ribosomal RNA (253 nucleotides) under uncultured bacterium. RNAcentral describes it as "partial 16S ribosomal RNA". It matches the Rfam family "Bacterial small subunit ribosomal RNA", at positions 524 to 776 of the family's 1533-position model. The record is from RNAcentral.
UACGGAGGGGGCAAGCGUUACUCGGAAUCAUUGGGCGUAAAGCGCGUGUAGGUGGCUAGUUAAGUCGGGUGUGAAAUCCCUGGGCUCAACCGAGGAAGUGCACUCGAUACUGGCUGGCUAGAAGAUAGUAGAGGAAGGUGGAAUUCCAAGUGUAGAGGUGAAAUUCGUAGAUAUUUGGAGGAAUACCGGCGGCGAAGGCGGCCUUCUGGGCUAUUCUUGACACUGAGACGCGAAAGCGUGGGGAGCAAACAGG